Sceloporus undulatus (fence lizard) is the source of this 1236-nucleotide long non-coding RNA. RefSeq lists it as uncharacterized. The record is from RefSeq and is a predicted model, not a curated record. The transcript is spliced from 4 exons. Lineage: Eukaryota; Metazoa; Chordata; Lepidosauria; Squamata; Phrynosomatidae.
GCAGAUGACUGAGAAAUUUAACUAUUUUUCCUACAGUGUCACAUUUUUUUUUAAGUAGAGGAGUUUUCCUGCAAAAUGUAAGUGAAUUGAAAUGUAUCUUUUUUGUCUAUUUGGACAGUUCAUUGCUUCGGGAUCAGUUUCUGUGUCUGCUGAAAAAAAACUGAACACAUCUUUGAUGAAAUGCAGUGUAGGAAUGAAUAUCACCAGUGCAAUACUGGCAUCCGUUGGCAUGAUUCUGUUCAUAGCACAACUGACUGUAAACUCUCGACGUUAUGAUACUUAUGCUGUAGGUACUGGUCUCUGUGUCAUGCUCUUCCUGUUUACCUUGCUAGAAUUCUGUAUCACUACUUGUUCAGCCCGUUUCAGGUGUCAGGAACCAGCUUUAGCUAUGAUAUGACUAUGGCUUUUAUGCCAUACACUAUAAUUGGAAAUGGUGUGCCUCCCACUGAAAAUAACCCACCUCCACCAGCCUAUGAUCAGGCAAUGCUUUCUCCCAAUGUAGAAGGUUAGCAAAUGGCACAUGAGAGGAAUGAAAAGCCACCCCUGCAAAUGGCCUCGGCAAUUUAGAUCUCAAGACUAAACUGCAUUUUUACAUAUAUCUUUUGUAAACAUUUGAAAACUCUUAUCCUUUUUUUAACUUUCAGGUUAGAUGUGAAUGUGUUGAUAGUCAAAUGAUAAAUUAUAUUUGACAAUAAUGUUAAUUUGGGCUGAGUAAUUUAAAUCCAUACCGAGGGCUAGCAUAUGUAGUGGUUUGGGCGUUGGAUUAGGACACUGAGAGACCAGGGCUCAAAUCCCCACUCAGCCAUGCAGACCAAGGACAAGUAAAACUUUCAUCACCUGAGGAAGACAAGAGCAACCCCCUUCUCCCACGAAAACCCUGUGAUAGGUUCACCAUGUCAGAAAUGACUUGAAGGCACACAACAAUGAAUUUAAAUUUAUAUCUCAGUCUCCACCUCAGAUGAAACAAUUUGAAGGAGGCUUAAAAUAGGCUGUUCAGUUAAUCAUGUAUUGAUAUAAACUUAGAUGAUUAUACACUAUAAAACCUAAUACUGAGGUUUUACUUCUGUCCCUGUUUCAAUAAAUUUCCUAUUUUGUUCUAAAUAAAAUUUUUGUUAUAUGUAAUAAAGAUAUAUAUUCUGCUGAUUUUCUUCAUUGAAAGAAUACUUGUAGAUGUUCCUUAAUAAACAUCCAGUUGCUUUCAUGUUUAUUAUUUCCUAUUUUAAUUUAUGCUAAAAU